This 433-nucleotide ribosomal RNA is filed under the name uncultured bacterium. Its description in RNAcentral is "partial 16S ribosomal RNA". It matches the Rfam family "Bacterial small subunit ribosomal RNA", at positions 29 to 506 of the family's 1533-position model. The record is from RNAcentral.
AGCGAACGCUGGCGGCAGGCCUAACACAUGCAAGUCGAACGAACCUUUCGGGGUUAGUGGCGGACGGGUGAGUAACACGUGGGAACGUGCCUUUAGGUUCGGAAUAACUCAGGGAAACUUGUGCUAAUACCGAAUGUGCCCUUCGGGGGAAAGAUUUAUCGCCUUUAGAGCGGCCCGCGUCUGAUUAGCUAGUUGGUUGAGGUAAUGGCUCACCAAGGCGACGAUCAGUAGCUGGUCUGAGAGGAUGAUCAGCCACAUUGGGACUGAGACACGGCCCAAACCCCUCCGGGAGGCCGCAGUGGGGAUUUUUGCGCAAUGGGCGAAAGCCUGACGCUGCCAUGCCCGGUGAAUGAUAAAGGUCUUAGGAUUGUAAAAUUCUUUCCCCGGGGACGAUAAUGACGGUACCCGGAGAAGAAGCCCCCGCUAACUUCGU